CUGCUGGUGGCCAGCGUGGUCGGGGUCGCGCUCUUGGUGCGUGUCGAGCGCCGGGCCGCCGCGCCGCUGUUCCAGCCGGCCCUGCUGC
Molecule: transfer RNA, 88 nt
Filed under: Pseudomonas fluorescens
Lineage: Bacteria; Pseudomonadati; Pseudomonadota; Gammaproteobacteria; Pseudomonadales; Pseudomonadaceae
Also listed under: 2 other names
Description: tRNA-Gln
Source: RNAcentral